Molecule: microRNA precursor, 219 nt
Filed under: Medicago truncatula (barrel medic)
Lineage: Eukaryota; Viridiplantae; Streptophyta; Magnoliopsida; Fabales; Fabaceae
Description: MIR2655 microRNA precursor family
Rfam family: MIR2655 microRNA precursor family
Source: Rfam by way of RNAcentral
CCCUUAACUAUUAAAAGUUUCGUUUUGGUCCCUUAACUUAUUUUUAGGUUUUGUUUUGGUCCCUUAACUCUUCCUUCGUCAACCACUUUGGUCCUUUAUGCUAGGAUGAAUGUAUUAGAGUUAAGGGACCAAAACGAAACCAAAAAAUAAGUUAAGGGACCAAAACGAAACCAAAAAAUAAGUUAAGGGAUCAAAACAAAACUUUUAAUAGUUAAGGGA